UGGCUCAGACGGUAAAGAAUCUGCCUGCAAUGCAGAAGACCCUAGGUUCAAUCCCUGG
Molecule: transfer RNA, 58 nt
Filed under: Ovis aries (sheep)
Lineage: Eukaryota; Metazoa; Chordata; Mammalia; Artiodactyla; Bovidae
Rfam family: tRNA
About the family: Transfer RNA (tRNA) molecules are approximately 80 nucleotides in length.
Source: Rfam by way of RNAcentral